This 501-nucleotide ribosomal RNA is filed under the name uncultured bacterium. RNAcentral describes it as "partial 16S ribosomal RNA". It matches the Rfam family "Bacterial small subunit ribosomal RNA", at positions 30 to 523 of the family's 1533-position model. The record is from RNAcentral.
AUUGAACGCUGGCGGCAGGCUUAACACAUGCAAGUCGAGCGGGGGAAGGUAGCUUGCUACCGGACCUAGCGGCGGACGGGUGAGUAAUGCUUAGGAAUCUGCCUAUUAGUGGGGGACAACAUCUCGAAAGGGAUGCUAAUACCGCACACGUCCUACGGGAGAAAGCAGGGGAUCUUCGGACCUUGCGCUAAUAGAUGAGCCUAAGUCGGAUUAGCUAGUUGGUGGGGUAAAGGCCUACCAAGGCGACGAUCUGUAGCGGGUCUGAGAGGAUGAUCCGCCACACUGGGACUGAGACACGGCCCAGACUCCUACGGGAGGCAGCAGUGGGGAAUAUUGGACAAUGGGCGCAAGCCUGAUCCAGCCAUGCCGCGUGUGUGAAGAAGGCCUUAUGGUUGUAAAGCACUUUAAGCGAGGAGGAGGCUACUUUAGAUAAUACCUAGAGAUAGUGGACGUUACUCGCAGAAUAAGCACCGGCUAACUCUGUGCCAGCAGCCGCCGUAA